RNAcentral lists this microRNA precursor (87 nucleotides) under Nicotiana attenuata. Its description in RNAcentral is "mir-156 microRNA precursor family". It matches the Rfam family "mir-156 microRNA precursor family". From Rfam's summary of the family: This family represents the plant microRNA (miRNA) precursor mir-156. Animal miRNAs are transcribed as ~70nt precursors and subsequently processed by the Dicer enzyme to give a ~22nt product. In plants the precursor sequences may be longer, and the carpel factory (caf) enzyme appears to be involved in processing. Lineage: Eukaryota; Viridiplantae; Streptophyta; Magnoliopsida; Solanales; Solanaceae. The record is from Rfam by way of RNAcentral.
GUGACAGAAGAGAGCGAGCACACAUGGUUCUUGCAUGGAUAAAUCCCCAUGCUUAAAAGCUAUGUGUGCUUUCUCUCUAUCUAUCAC